Molecule: long non-coding RNA, 5251 nt
Organism: Oreochromis niloticus (Nile tilapia)
Lineage: Eukaryota; Metazoa; Chordata; Actinopteri; Cichliformes; Cichlidae
Exons: 4
Source: RefSeq, a predicted model, not a curated record
CCAAUCCGAGACUCAUUACUGCAUACUGUUGUCAUUAAUAGUCGCAGUUAUGUUUCCUUAAAUGUGUUAAAAGUGACAUGAAAUGAGAGAGAAAUGAGAAACUAUUUGCAAAUAUGCAAAGAAAAAGUGUUGGAGGUCUGAAAAGCCUCCACACUGCUGACCCUUUGCUGUUAGCUUCCUCCAUCCUCUGUAUCCGGUGCAGAGGUGCUGAAAGGUGGAGCAGAAACCACCGAACAAUAUAGAACUAAAUUGCACAGAUUGGCCUUGAUUGGCCUAUUGUCACGGAUACCCGAUCCAGCUUUCUCAGACAGGAUCACAUAUUCAUUCACAUACUGGACCAGACAUCACUGGUAAGAAGGGAGUAAAAAUAGAGAAUAAUAGAGUAUUUUUUCAGCCACCAUGAUUAUGCAUGUAAUAAUUAUUUUUUACUCUUUUCUACAUUUAUCUACUCUAAAAAAAAAAAAACGGGGAGGUAAGAUAUGAAACUGUGGAUUUGUAAAUGUUAAACUGUAAAACAGCAGAAGGACAUUUUCUGUCCUAUUGAUCUAGUUAAACAUCGUUAAAGGCAGCGCCAGACCGGAUUCAUUGAAAGACCACAGGUGCUGACACUCAAGCUAAACAGCAGACGCUGGACUUCAGAGCAGGGUGUGAUGGUGGAGAGACGGCGAGUGGACAACAUCUGAAGGAGCUGUCUGAAUCCCAUCAGGCUGGAAAGGCAGAGCGUGUAACGUUCAUUAUUCUUCCAACAGAGUGGAGUAAAUGUCCCUGACUCGAGUCCACUGACUCGUCUCUCAUCUGUCAGCGUCUAUUAAAGCCACAACACCUUCAUUAGAGCCAACUCUUCAGCACAGAGCUUCCUUAAAAAAGGUGGAAAUCUGUGGAUUUGAAGGUUCACUUGUGUCGACGCUCUCGCUGCAGCUCGUUAUCCUGCUCAUGAAUUUGCUUGGAGUGAGUUUGGUACGGGCGAAGCUUCUGAUGUUUCUACAAAGAAAUCCCCCCCCCCACCUUGAGGCCUCGCGGCUUUAAUAAGGGACUGAAGAAAGGCCGCGUGGACGCUUCGUGCAGCUGUGCAGAAACAAAGGGAGCAGACCUGCGGCUACAUUUUUCAUCCUUUCUUCCAAAAAUAAGAACAAAUGCUUUAAAAUGAUCAGAAGUGGCAACAGCUUCAUUUACUUUGACCAACAACAGUCAGCUGUGAUUGGUUAUUUUGUGUCAUUAAAGAUGAAAUUAAAGUAAUUACAUUUAGAUUCAGUUAAAUGUUUGAAGUUUUAUUCAGCUUAUUUUUGUUUUUUGUGGUGUCCCACAAAGACACACCCUGAGGUCUCGAUGCCCAAACACAGGUAAUGGCUAUGAAUCUAAUUUCCAAACGUUCCCCGUCUAAGGAGAUUUUAAACAUUUUCCUAAACGUCCAGACUCCCUAAUCGGGUCACGAUGAGCCUCGUCUCUACGUCUUACGUUUCAAACAAACUCAUUUAUUCCACAGUUGCUGAACUCUUACGUUUGUAUAAAAUUCCACCUCAGCAGCGCGGACACACCUCCGCCUUCUCUAAAUACAUUCCACACGUUAAAAGCCACAGAAAUAUUUACACGGUCACUGGCUGUGAGUUUUAAUACCAGCCAUAUUCAUUUCCACUCUGCGAGGCACGCCAGCGCUACUUCAUCUGAAACAUUUGAUAUACAUACACGACCCAGGGCCAAUAACUCUGGUAUGUGUGUUUGCUGCCAGCAGCGACUUCAUUAAGCUGUUAAAACUUGGGGAAAAUGCCGAGAAGCCCUGGAAACAUUUGAAGUGCAUUUUCACAUUUACAGUGUUGUAAAGUUGUUAUUUGUUCUGCUGGCAGCUCCGAGUUCAGUCAGGAGUGAGGACUACCUGGCAGACAGCUCUGUUUGCUCCAGCGUCACGUUUCUCUCAAAGCAAAUUGCUGAGAGGUGAACAUUAAGUAUUUAUGUAUUUAUUGGUAAGCCAGCUGGUUGGUUUGUUUAGCAAUAUACCCGAAAUCCACAGCCGGCAAUGAAUACCGAUGCGCUCGUCAGUCAUUUUCCAGCUAAUCUCUCCUGACAGACUCAACAAUCGAUGCUCUUCUGUUGUUUUAAGAUGAGAUUGAUUAAAACUCAUUUCCAGACGCACAUUUUAUGCUGGACUCUUCCUGUUAUGCUCCAUUGUUUAUUCUUUGUUGCUGUUCUUUCAGAUUUGAAGAAGCUGAUUUUAUAAAAACAUGCUGGGUAGAGUGUAGGCUGCUGAAGCCAGAUGGCAUUUUAAUAGUCCAGCCCUGAUGAAUAAAUAGAGGCUGCAGGCAAAGAGAAGAGGAGGCCAAAGCCAGGACGGCUCAACUGACCAGUCAAGUCAAGCCAGGUGAUACCCACAAUGCAUUUCCCACCGAGCCUGACUGGGAGGCAGCCCGGGCACAGAUACAGACCACGUUUUGUCUACAUUUCUGGAACCAGCAGGGAGACAUUAGGCCUAAAAUGACCCAGAAAGUUCAGACUGAGCUAAUUGCAGGAGGCAGGAAGGUGACAGACUUAACACAGACUAAACACUCAGAAAGAUGUGCAAAGAGUAUCUUGGUAUUAAAGAGCAAUGAUUAGCUUGCAGAGCAUGAAACAUGACAGGAGACGUGGAUGUUCUUUUUCAAGGCCGUCUGUUGUAAAGGCUCACCUUUCAGCACAUUCACUUCACCAGAUGCACCUUGUUUCUUUUCCUCACCUUUGAUUGGGGGUGGUGCUUGGCCUUAAUUGCACUCACCUGUCACUCGUUUUAUAAGGACUGCACUCACCUACCCCUCACUCUUUCUUCACUCCCACAUGGGGCGGCAGCUGAGGUGGGGUAGGGCCUGUCCUCGCACCAGGCGGCACGUGGAGCCGUCGCCGCCGCAGACGCCGCAGUUAUCCUCCCUGGCACCGCUGGCCAGCUGCCGAUCGCAGCCCACCUCCUGCACAUGCAACAAGCACAAAGACAGAGACGAGGCUGAAACAAAGACAGCUGCAGGGCAAAGUCAGGCUGAAUUAUGUUCCCGACCAACAGCGAGGACGCUCAGUCUAAUUAUAAUUUACAUGCCACACAAGUUUCCAACGAUGGACAGUUUAGAGCCAGAGGCUAAGAAGUCUGUUUGUGUGCUUCUGAAAGUCGUUAAAUGAACAUUUGGUCAUUUUUUCACAGCCAAUGUCUGACUGCACCGCAACAUAAUUAAAACGGAGGCGUCCCCCGGCUCCCUCAGCUCUCUCUAACAGCCUGCUGACUGACUUCUGUGUGGACACUCUGCAAGAUGUUUACGUUCACACGAGCGCCUCGUCUGCUCCUGUCAUUGUUCCAUCCACGGAUGGACAGCCGGCAUAAUCAGAAACAGCAAACGGUGAAGCAGUUUGUCAAGGCAAAAUCUGGACCCCCCAAUUCUUAGCAAGCAAGCGAGCUAGCCUGCUAGCUCCUUAAACAGGAAACAAGAACAUUAAUGUAAACCUUAAACAUUGUGCUUUAGUGUUGCAGCCUUCAAACGUUUGUUUUUCUGGUUUGUGGCACACUUUUCACUCUUUCACCACUGCUUUGUGUUUGCAGACAAAUUAGCAAAUUAGCAUUUUCCAGACCACAAUGAGCUGCUUGCAACCAAACCAAUCCCUCUGAGGUUUUCGGUGUAGCAUUGUAAACCUCUUUGUGAAUGAUUGUAGGCACGGAGUCACUGUAAUUACAGGUUAGAAUACAGAGCAAGUGCAAUCAUAUAGUCAAAGUCAACUUUAACGUCAUCUCCGCUCUAUACAGUACAGAACAUGGAGAGACGAGACGACGAGGCUCCAGUUCAAGUGCAAAAGACAAUAAAUACAAUUACAGUAAGAAAUAAACAUACACUUUAAGACUAAAGGUAAAAGGAUCAAUAACAAUUUAAAUUUACAAUUUACAGGUGAAUGAUUUAAAGUUAUUAUAAAUCUUGGGACCAUAAUCAAUGAGAAACUGAAUUUUGAUGAGAACUGGUCUGUACAAAGGGUCACCGGCGCCUUUACUGCCUCAGGAAACUUGUUCAUUUCCACAUUGACUGAACAAUUUUAACUUUGUUUUAUCUGUUUGUUUGGUGGCAUGGUUCUGUCAGACCGCUGUCACAGAGAAAACCUCAGAAACAGAUGGUGAGAUGGUCCGGUCGUCCGAUAGCUUCUUCCCUUUGGACGGAGGUUUGGAGUUCCAACAUGCAGGACGAAGCGUUAUAAAAACAGCUUUGUUCCUGCUGCUGUCACUAAACUUGAACCUUGAACCCUUCAUCAAGCAACAGCCAGCGAGCUCCAUCAACCUGCUAACCAGUCGGGGAAUACACAGUUGCUGCUUGUAGUGACAGAGGCGUCUGCAGGCCUGUGUGAAAGCAAUCAGUUUGCUAUUUCUAUGUAGCCCAGGACUUCCAUGAUCCUGGUGAAUCAUGAGAUCACGAGAAGCUAAACCAUCAUCAGAUAUCCAGCCAAAGCUUCUCUUACCAAAAAUGUUGACCCUUGCCCGAAGACUGUGUGUGUUCAUACGGACGCAUCUGACAACAGAGUAAUUUCCAAAUAUAAGACUGGGUUGCUAGGAAACAGUCAGAUUUUGAUGGGACUUCAAACUCUGUCAAGAUGAGCUUGUACUACCUGAUGGAAGGUGAUUUAAUCAAACCGUCAUCUGGCCUUUAAUAUACUUUUAUCGAGGAUAAAAUUCAACUUGGAAAACAUCAAAACAUAUUCUGUAUAAUCAGUCUCAUCUCUGCAUUUCUUUGUGGGUCACUGGGACCUUGUAUCCUGGCUUUAAAUAACAAGACAAAUUAAGUGUGACCUCAGGAUGAGUGUGCAGGAAACGUUUCCACAGCCUCCUGAGAUGCACUCGUUUCAAAAGCUGCAGGACAUAAACGAGACCGUCCCUGAUUUCAAAAACAAACUGCGGAUUUUUAAAAAAGGAAUAAUGAAGCAUUCAGAAGGCAGGACUGAAAAAUGACUCACAGCAAACUAUAAAUGCUUCUUUUUUACGACAGCAGUGACCAAUGAAAACGCUAUAGAAAGGCCCAGGUGGUCAAAAUGAUCUUACACGGACAUGAAAAUGGAUCUAUCAUCAUCUGGGUCUAACCUGGUCUGCUUCUGGCUCUACUGUUAUUCAUAAAGGGGGCUUGGCACAGCUUCUGGCACGUGGAAUAAAUGUCCUGACAGCUGAUGUGUGGUUCAAACCGCUCUCUCACAGAGCAGGCAAGGUCCACACAGAAAGGACCCAACUGGCAAGAGCAUUCAAACCCAGGAACUUCCUGCCAUGAGCCGG